AAGAAUAGCAGAAAUUAUCAACUGCCCCAACACCCCCUCCCCCAUCCCUCCCGACUCCGCCGCUCCCCAACACUCCGCCGCCGCGCCAACACUUCCGUCUCUUAAUUACACCACCCAAUCACGCCGCUCAGUUGCGCUGCCAUGCUCCAAUCGCACCGUCGUCGCCAUGCCCCAAUAUCUUCGCACCAUUUCUUUUUCAAUUUUGUGGACAGCGAGGGCGGGGGUCGAUGAGGGCUCUGGUGGUGGAAUAUCGCUAAUCUCCUUCCAACGAUUGUUACCUGGUCGCAAUUCAGCUCCCAAUGAUGGAGAAGACGAAUCCACAGCAUGUGUUUACUUUGGCGAGGUAUGAAAAAUAAAGAUUUGAACUUUGAUUUCGAAAGGAAAAAGUUAGAAAAAUUCACUGACUGGUGCACUUUAGGGAGAUUUGACACGAAAUCUGGUUCGUCCAGUGAAGAACUCCUCUUCGGGGAGAAAAUCGAUUUUGGAGUGAAAUAAGCAAAUACCGAUUUUGGAGUUAUUUGAGGGAGAAAAUUGGAAACACAAAACAUAAUCUCUAUUACUGUUCAAAGUGAUAUUAUUCAUCACGGGGGGUGCGGCGGAUGAAUAAUCUCAAGGCUACAGUGUUUUUGGUGCGGGCUUCACCUUUUUUACGGGCCUGGAAGAUUAUUGAAAUAGUCUAUCAAACAGACAAAAAUGGUGAGAAAUAUUAUCUAUCUCACCUAAUAAUCCCUAUCAAACACACCCUAAAACAACACCAUUUAGCCGUUGAAACGACGUCACUUCACCACUGAAAAACUAUAAGUGUAUGUUUACGUAUAAGGGCAAUUUAAUGAAUGAG
RNAcentral lists this long non-coding RNA (838 nucleotides) under Salvia miltiorrhiza (redroot sage). RNAcentral describes it as "long non-coding RNA (SMIL_LNC006518)". Lineage: Eukaryota; Viridiplantae; Streptophyta; Magnoliopsida; Lamiales; Lamiaceae. The record is from RNAcentral.